GUACUGAUGAAGAGUCCCAAACUAGGACGAAACAGCAGUCCAGUAC
Trichobilharzia regenti is the source of this 46-nucleotide non-coding RNA. NCBI's taxonomy places the organism in Eukaryota, Metazoa, Platyhelminthes, Trematoda, Strigeidida, Schistosomatidae. The record is from Rfam.